Non-coding RNA from Grammomys surdaster, 406 nucleotides. The record is from the annotation of a RefSeq genome assembly. Lineage: Eukaryota; Metazoa; Chordata; Mammalia; Rodentia; Muridae.
ACUCAGCAUGGACAUGAGGGCCCCUGCUCAAUUUCUUGGGUUCUUGUUGCUCUGUUUUCCAGGUGGCAGAUGUGACAUCCAGUUGACCCAGUCUCCAACAUCCAUGUCUGCCUCCCUGGGAGACAGAGUCAGUCUUACUUGCCGGGCAAGUCAGGGCAUUAACCGUAAUUUAAACUGGUAUCAACAGAAACCAGAUGGAACUGUUAAACGUCUGAUCUACUCCACAUCCAAUUUAGAAUCUGGUGUCCCAUCAAGGUUCAGUGGCAGUGGGUCUGGAUCAGAAUAUUCUCUCAGCAUCAGUAGCCUGGAGUCUGAUGAUUUUGCAGUCUAUUACUGUCUACAGUAUAAUGCGUUUCCUCCCACAGUGAUACAAGUCAUAACACAAACCCCAUGGAAGCAGAAGUGA